This 519-nucleotide ribosomal RNA is filed under the name uncultured Pseudomonadota bacterium. Its description in RNAcentral is "bacterial SSU rRNA". It matches the Rfam family "Bacterial small subunit ribosomal RNA", at positions 8 to 522 of the family's 1533-position model. Lineage: Bacteria; Pseudomonadati; Pseudomonadota. The record is from RNAcentral.
AGAGUUUGAUCAUGGCUCAGAUUGAACGCUGGCGGCAUGCCUUACACAUGCAAGUCGAGCGGCAGCGCGGGGGCAACCCUGGCGGCGAGCGGCGAACGGGUGAGUAAUACAUCGGAACGUGUCCAGUAGUGGGGGAUAACCAGUCGAAAGAUUGGCUAAUACCGCAUACGAUCUACGGAUGAAAGCGGGGGACCGCAAGGCCUCGCGCUAUUGGAGCGGCCGAUGUCCGAUUAGCUAGUUGGCGGGGUAACGGCCCACCAAGGCGACGAUCGGUAGCUGGUCUGAGAGGAUGAUCAGCCACACUGGAACUGAGACACGGUCCAGACUCCUACGGGAGGCAGCAGUGGGGAAUUUUGGACAAUGGGCGCAAGCCUGAUCCAGCCAUGCCGCGUGAGUGAAGAAGGCCUUCGGGUUGUAAAGCUCUUUCGGCGGGGACGAAACGGUCCGUGACAACACCACGGACUAAUGACGGUACUCGCAGAAGAAGCACCGGCUAACUACGUGCCAGCAGCCGCGGUA